This 90-nucleotide transfer RNA is filed under the name Candidatus Micrarchaeota archaeon RBG_16_49_10. RNAcentral's name for it is "tRNA-Ile". It matches the Rfam family "tRNA". Rfam says of the family: Transfer RNA (tRNA) molecules are approximately 80 nucleotides in length. Their secondary structure includes four short double-helical elements and three loops (D, anti-codon, and T loops). The record is from RNAcentral. Lineage: Archaea; Nanobdellati; Microcaldota.
GGGCCGGUAGCUUAGUCUGGCUAGAGCGUUUGUGGCUAUAGCACCUGUCUUAUAAGCAGGGGGUCGAGGGUUCAAAUCCCUCCCGGCCCA